This is an RNA transcript of Nicotiana attenuata, 1111 nucleotides long. It is a transcript of the gene named F-box protein SKIP1-like, with no coding region annotated. The record is from RefSeq and is a predicted model, not a curated record. The transcript is spliced from 2 exons. Lineage: Eukaryota; Viridiplantae; Streptophyta; Magnoliopsida; Solanales; Solanaceae.
UGGUAAAGAGGAGAAGUUCAAUCAGAAAUGGACAAUGACAAAGAAACGAAAACCGAGUCAUGCCCUAACCAUGACUGGGCCGAGUUAACUCAGUUAUGCCUCAUCAACAUCCUUUCUCGCCUUUCCAUCGAAGACCGAUGGCGCGGAGCCAUGUUUGUGUGCAAGCCAUGGUUUCAAGCUUGCAAAGACCCUACCCUCAACUCGGUAAUCGACCUCGAAACUCAGUUCGAAUCAUCCACUAAACCGUCUCGUUUCUGGACGCCCGGGUUCGAGCGCAAAAUGGACUCUAUGCUUCGAUCUGUUGUACUUUGGAGUGAUGGAUCUCUUACUACAGUCCGGGUUAGACACUGCUCUGAUCAGUCCCUAGCUUUAAUUGCUGAAAGGUCUCCAAACCUUCAAGUUCUCUCCAUCAAAUGCUGUCCACAUGUAACUGAUGAAACGAUGUCUAAGAUCGCCUUUGGGUGCCCUUUGCUUAGGGAACUCGAUAUCAGCCUCUGCUGUCAAAUAUCUCACAAUUCUCUUGCUCUUAUAGGACAUCAUUGUGCUAAUUUGAGAAUUCUAAGGCGAAAUUUCACGAGUAGGUUAGAUCUUUCCCGACAACAAUGUUUUGUCCCCUGGGAGUAUCUAGAUGCCUAUCCUCAAGAUGGCGAUUCAGAAGCUGCUGCAAUUGGAAAAUUUAUGCUGAAACUUGUGCAACUUGAGCUUCGUUUCUCCAACUUGACUACUAAAGGUCUAGCUUUGAUAUCUGAAGGGUGUGUAAACCUUGAGCAUUUGGAUCUAUCUGGGUGUACAGAUGUUACUAGCUCGGAAAUUUCAAACGCCUCAUCGAAUCUGAAGCAGUUGAAAACCUUGAAGAAGCCUCAGUUUUACUUCUCGAUGUUAGGAUCUCACACUGAGAGGUAUAUACGUGCACUGGCAGCUGUAUGAUGAGCGUUUCCGGACAGGUAACAUCCGAAUUUAAUCAGUCAACGAAUGAGCGAUGAUACAACGUUGUUCAACUGCUUGUAUAUUGUGUUUUCUAUUUGUGUAUCAAACAGUGCUAUGUAAAAGUAGAGGAAGCUUUUGUUUAACGCUCUGGAUUACUUAGUAGAAAGGUAUUCGACAGGCUUUA